AUUGAACGCUGGCGGCAGGCCUAACACAUGCAAGUCGAGCGGCAGCGGGAAAGUAGCUUGCUACUUUUGCCGGCGAGCGGCGGACGGGUGAGUAAUGCCUGGGGAUCUGCCCAGUCGAGGGGGAUAACUACUGGAAACGGUAGCUAAUACCGCAUACGCCCUCCGGGGGAAAGCAGGGGACCUUCGGGCCUUGCGCGACUGGAUGAACCCAGGUGGGAUUAGCUAGUUGGUGAGGUAAUGGCUCACCAAGGCGACGAUCCCUAGCUGGUCUGAGAGGAUGGUCAGCCACACUGGAACUGAGACACGGUCCAGACUCCUACGGGAGGCAGCAGUGGGGAAUAUUGCACAAUGGGGGAAACCCUGAUGCAGCCAUGCCGCGUGUGUGAAGAAGGCCUUCGGGUUGUAAAGCACUUUCAGCGAGGAGGAAAGGUUGGUAGCUAAUAACUGCCAGCUGUGACGUUACUCGCAGAAGAAGCACCGGCUAACUCCGUGCCAGCCGCCGCGGUAA
This 508-nucleotide ribosomal RNA is filed under the name uncultured bacterium. Its description in RNAcentral is "partial 16S ribosomal RNA". It matches the Rfam family "Bacterial small subunit ribosomal RNA", at positions 29 to 523 of the family's 1533-position model. The record is from RNAcentral.